This is a small nucleolar RNA of Hibiscus syriacus, 101 nucleotides long. RefSeq annotates it as small nucleolar RNA snoR99. The record is from RefSeq and is a predicted model, not a curated record. Lineage: Eukaryota; Viridiplantae; Streptophyta; Magnoliopsida; Malvales; Malvaceae. The transcript has a single exon.
GUGCUUUAGGGAUGAACGGGUCACUUAUAUGUAAUAUCCAUCUAUCAUUUUGUCAGUUGCCUUUUUGGGUGGCAUGCUGAUCAUUAUAAGAUGGAAAUCGG